Molecule: ribosomal RNA, 1458 nt
Filed under: Escherichia coli
Lineage: Bacteria; Pseudomonadati; Pseudomonadota; Gammaproteobacteria; Enterobacterales; Enterobacteriaceae
Description: partial 23S ribosomal RNA
Rfam family: Bacterial large subunit ribosomal RNA
Source: RNAcentral
GAAUGCUGACAUAAGUAACGAUAAAGCGGGUGAAAAGCCCGCUCGCCGGAAGACCAAGGGUUCCUGUCCAACGUUAAUCGGGGCAGGGUGAGUCGACCCCUAAGGCGAGGCCGAAAGGCGUAGUCGAUGGGAAACAGGUUAAUAUUCCUGUACUUGGUGUUACUGCGAAGGGGGGACGGAGAAGGCUAUGUUGGCCGGGCGACGGUUGUCCCGGUUUAAGCGUGUAGGCUGGUUUUCCAGGCAAAUCCGGAAAAUCAAGGCUGAGGCGUGAUGACGAGGCACUACGGUGCUGAAGCGACAAAUGCCCUGCUUCCAGGAAAAGCCUCUAAGCAUCAGGUAACAUCAAAUCGUACCCCAAACCGACACAGGUGGUCAGGUAGAGAAUACCAAGGCGCUUGAGAGAACUCGGGUGAAGGAACUAGGCAAAAUGGUGCCGUAACUUCGGGAGAAGGCACGCUGAUAUGUAGGUGAAGCGACUUGCUCGUGGAGCUGAAAUCAGUCGAAGAUACCAGCUGGCUGCAACUGUUUAUUAAAAACACAGCACUGUGCAAACACGAAAGUGGACGUAUACGGUGUGACGCCUGCCCGGUGCCGGAAGGUUAAUUGAUGGGGUUAGCGGUAACGCGAAGCUCUUGAUCGAAGCCCCGGUAAACGGCGGCCGUAACUAUAACGGUCCUAAGGUAGCGAAAUUCCUUGUCGGGUAAGUUCCGACCUGCACGAAUGGCGUAAUGAUGGCCAGGCUGUCUCCACCCGAGACUCAGUGAAAUUGAACUCGCUGUGAAGAUGCAGUGUACCCGCGGCAAGACGGAAAGACCCCGUGAACCUUUACUAUAGCUUGACACUGAACAUUGAGCCUUGAUGUGUAGGAUAGGUGGGAGGCUUUGAAGUGUGGACGCCAGUCUGCAUGGAGCCGACCUUGAAAUACCACCCUUUAAUGUUUGAUGUUCUAACGUGGGCCCCUUACCGGGGUUGCGGACAGUGUCUGGUGGGUAGUUUGACUGGGGCGGUCUCCUCCUAAAGAGUAACGGAGGAGCACGAAGGUUGGCUAAUCCUGGUCGGACAUCAGGAGGUUAGUGCAAUGGCAUAAGCCAGCUUGACUGCGAGCGUGACGGCGCGAGCAGGUGCGAAAGCAGGUCAUAGUGAUCCGGUGGUUCUGAAUGGAAGGGCCAUCGCUCAACGGAUAAAAGGUACUCCGGGGAUAACAGGCUGAUACCGCCCAAGAGUUCAUAUCGACGGCGGUGUUUGGCACCUCGAUGUCGGCUCAUCACAUCCUGGGGCUGAAGUAGGUCCCAAGGGUAUGGCUGUUCGCCAUUUAAAGUGGUACGCGAGCUGGGUUUAGAACGUCGUGAGACAGUUCGGUCCCUAUCUGCCGUGGGCGCUGGAGAACUGAGGGGGGCUGCUCCUAGUACGAGAGGACCGGAGUGGACGCAUCACUGGUGUUCGGGUUGUCAUGCCAAU